This 1491-nucleotide ribosomal RNA is filed under the name Staphylococcus sp. HMSC057A02. RNAcentral's name for it is "bacterial LSU rRNA". It matches the Rfam family "Bacterial large subunit ribosomal RNA", at positions 152 to 1642 of the family's 2925-position model. The record is from RNAcentral. Lineage: Bacteria; Bacillati; Bacillota; Bacilli; Caryophanales; Staphylococcaceae.
CGACAAGUGAAUUCAUAGCUUGUCAGAAGGCAGACCCGGAGAACUGAAACAUCUUAGUACCCGGAGGAAGAGAAAGAAAAUUCGAUUCCCUGAGUAGCGGCGAGCGAAACGGGAAGAGCCCAAACCAAUAAGCUUGCUUAUUGGGGUUGUAGGACACUCUAUACGGAGUUACAAAGGAAUAUAUUAAACGAAUCAUCUGGAAAGUUGAAUCAAAGAAGGUAAUAAUCCUGUAGUUGAAAAUAUAUUCUCUCUUGAGUGGAUCCUGAGUACGACGGAGCACGUGAAAUUCCGUCGGAAUCUGGGAGGACCAUCUCCUAAGGCUAAAUACUCUCUAGUGACCGAUAGUGAACCAGUACCGUGAGGGAAAGGUGAAAAGUACCCCGGAAGGGGAGUGAAAGAGAACUUGAAACCGUGUGCUUACAAGUAGUCAGAGCCCGUUAAUGGGUGAUGGCGUGCCUUUUGUAGAAUGAACCGGCGAGUUACGAUCUGAUGCAAGGUUAAGCAGAAAAUGUGGAGCCGUAGCGAAAGCGAGUCUGAAUAGGGCGUAUAGUAUUUGGUCGUAGACCCGAAACCAGGUGAUCUACCCAUGGUCAGGUUGAAGUUCAGGUAACACUGAAUGGAGGACCGAACCGACUUACGUUGAAAAGUGAGCGGAUGAACUGUGGGUAGCGGAGAAAUUCCAAUCGAACUUGGAGAUAGCUGGUUCUCUCCGAAAUAGCUUUAGGGCUAGCCUCAAGUGAUGAUUAUUGGAGGUAGAGCACUGUUUGGACGAGGGGCCCCUCUCGGGUUACCGAAUUCAGACAAACUCCGAAUGCCAAUUAAUUUAACUUGGGAGUCAGAACAUGGGUGAUAAGGUCCGUGUUCGAAAGGGAAACAGCCCAGACCACCAGCUAAGGUCCCAAAAUAUAUGUUAAGUGGAAAAGGAUGUGGCGUUGCCCAGACAACUAGGAUGUUGGCUUAGAAGCAGCCAUCAUUUAAAGAGUGCGUAAUAGCUCACUAGUCGAGUGACACUGCGCCGAAAAUGUACCGGGGCUAAACAUAUUACCGAAGCUGUGGAUUGUCCUUUGGACAAUGGUAGGAGAGCGUUCUAAGGGCGUUGAAGCAUGAUCGCAAGGACAUGUGGAGCGCUUAGAAGUGAGAAUGCCGGUGUGAGUAGCGAAAGACGGGUGAGAAUCCCGUCCACCGAUUGACUAAGGUUUCCAGAGGAAGGCUCGUCCGCUCUGGGUUAGUCGGGUCCUAAGCUGAGGCCGACAGGCGUAGGCGAUGGAUAACAGGUUGAUAUUCCUGUACCACCUAUAAUCGUUUUAAUCGAUGGGGGGACGCAGUAGGAUAGGCGAAGCGUACGAUUGGAUUGUACGUCUAAGCAGUGAGAUUGAGUGUUAGGCAAAUCCGGCACUCUUAAGAUUGAGCUGUGAUGGGGAGAGGAAAUUGUUUCCUCGAGUCGUUGAUUUCACACUGCCGAGAAAAGCCUCUAGAUAGAGAUUAGGUGCC